This is a long non-coding RNA of Meriones unguiculatus (Mongolian gerbil), 2160 nucleotides long. RefSeq lists it as uncharacterized. NCBI's taxonomy places the organism in Eukaryota, Metazoa, Chordata, Mammalia, Rodentia, Muridae. The transcript has 2 exons. The record is from RefSeq and is a predicted model, not a curated record.
GGCCAGUCCCGAACUAGAUCAGAGCAGGCAGGAGCACAGAUCCUUUUCAAUUCUUUACUCAAAAGUCCUGAAGAGGCCGACUGGUGCAUACUGAACACAGGUACUGAAACAGCCUGGAAAGUCCUCCAGGAUGGAAUGCAAAGCUGGUUCUCAGCCAUCCUCAGGCCUGCUUCUCUUUGGUGGAUUGAGAAGAUAAAAAGAAAAUCCUGCAGAAGAUGGCUAAAAUGCACUAAAGCGAAAGAAAACUAGUGAGACAGAAAAUGUAGUUCAGUGGAAAGGAAGAGAUGUCCCUAUCUAUGGCCCUGUGGCCACAGAACAACCUAAGUAAGAACACUCUCCAUGCUUAGUGUUGCUGAAGAGCUAAGGCAGCCUGGAUAGGAACAGACUGGUAUGGAAGGAAGCAGAGGACUCAGGCAGUGAGAAGGCUCCACUCAGCUGGGAGACAGAGAAAGAAAGGCUGUAGGGGUCAGCCUAGGUCAGGGGCAGCACCAGGAGCUGUAGGGCUCCAUGCUUCCUAGAGAAGACAAUGCUGAACUAAGACCGGGAGCUGGGAGCUGAAAGGGGCAGAAGGGAGAAGGAGACAGCACGCUAUCAAGGUCCAGGGGAUUCGGAACAGCACCCACAAAACUGGUGCACUCCAGUGUGGAGGAGGCAGAAGCUGCGGCACCUAGCUCUCUAGCAUGGAUAACUGGGUGGAUGGGUACCAUGUUUACCCUGGUAUCCAGCAGAAAACCAGACACCCAAAUUUGCAGCUGCUGGCUUACAAGACGUUUUAGUGGGGGUAAAUUCUUCCUAAGCAACGAGCUUGCACUGGCUCUCUGGACUUCACUCCCUCCAGAGUCAUCUUCCAUUUCUUCCUCCUGCCUCUGACCUGAUGUACCACAGCCUGUCAGGCUAGCCACAGCCUUAUGUUUCUUUCUGUAAAUAUUGUUAUAUUUUUUUAUUAGCAGGUACAAAUUGCAUGCAUCCGUACAUUCAAUGUUACAUUUGAAUACACGCGUACAGUGUGCUGAUCAAAGCCAGUGCUCAUUUAUCUCCCCUCCCCUUCCCAACCUCUGCUCAUCCCUAUUCUACAUUUGGUUCUACUUCCUCAAGUGCCUGAAAAUGAGAGAACACACGGUAUCUGGCUCAUUUUACUUGACAGCAACCCCCAAACGCCUCUCAGCUUAGCCAACAUCAACUCAAAACACAUCAAAGACCUAAAAAUAAGACCCCAAACUAGACAACUACUAGAUGAAAACAGGGAAAAAAACUUCAAGACAUCCGUGUACUCAACAGGAUGGCCAAAUGGGCUGGCAACAAACAAAAUCACGCUGCAAAGGAAAUACAAGCAAUGGAGCAGACAGGCGUCCACAGAACGGAAAAAUACGUAACAGCUGCUCAUCUGACAAAGAUUAAUACUACCAACUACUUAAGGAACUCACAACAAAUCCCUCAGGUCAUCGAAACCAAGGAUCAGCAAACAGGGGCUGAAUGAUGGCUCCAGGGUCAUCAGGACCUAAGUUUGAAUCUUCAGCACCCACAUAAGAAAGCUGGCCUUGGUAGCACACUUGUGAUCUUGGGACUGGGGAGACAGAGACAGGAGACAACUUGGAGCUCACUGGCCAGUGAGCUGAGCCUGAUUGGUGAGUCCUAGGUCUCAGUGAAAGACUCGGUCUCAAAAACCAAUGUGAUGACCCCUGAGGAAUGAUACCCAAGAUCGACUUCUGGUCUCUACUCAUAUGUACAUACAUGCUUGUACUCCUGUGCAUAUUCAUGAGCACACACAGGCAUAAACUGAGUUCCAAGCUACUAUGGAAGGUUCAGGAAAACAGGAAACACACACUUACAAAUCAGCUGGAGAACCUCUCAAGAAAUACACAUGGCUGACAAAGACAACUCAGUUAUUUCCAAUUCAGGUCCCACUGGCCACCAGGGAGCAUUGGCCUCUCUUCCCCUAAAGAAGGGGCACAUAUUCUGCCUCCAUUGUCUUUCAGUAGCAUCAUCACUGCUAAUGCCUCUGCAGUGAUUUGUCAUCAAUUUCCUUGGAACUUUACAGUUAUAGCAACAAUAAGGCUUAUACCCAACAGAACCAUUAUGAUUCCUCACAACUAAUGUGAUUAGUGCUUUUGUUCAUUUGUGUUUGAAACCCAUUAGCAUAAAAUUUAUAUCCAAUAAUAA